UGCAGUGACACGGGGUGCCAUGAUUUCUGGCUGAGAGAACACCCGUUGAACCUGAUCUAGUUCGAACUAGCGAAGGGAUGUUGCAGGUGCUUCUU
Molecule: non-coding RNA, 95 nt
Filed under: Arthrobacter rhombi
Lineage: Bacteria; Bacillati; Actinomycetota; Actinomycetes; Micrococcales; Micrococcaceae
Description: TPP sequence
Rfam family: TPP riboswitch aptamer (THI element)
About the family: Vitamin B(1) in its active form thiamin pyrophosphate (TPP) is an essential coenzyme that is synthesised by coupling of pyrimidine and thiazole moieties in bacteria. The previously detected thiamin-regulatory element, thi box was extended, resulting in a new, highly conserved RNA secondary structure, the THI element, which is widely distributed in eubacteria and also occurs in some archaea. Analysis of operon structures identified a large number of new candidate thiamin-regulated genes, mostly transporters, in various prokaryotic organisms.
Source: Rfam by way of RNAcentral